UGGGGAUAUUGGACAAUGGGGGCAACCCUGAUCCAGCCAUGCCGCGUGUGUGAAGAAGGCCUUUUGGUUGUAAAGCACUUUAAGCAGUGAAGAAGACCUAAUGGUUAAUACCCAUUAGCGAUGACAUUAGCUGCAGAAUAAGCACCGGCUAACUCUGUGCCAGCAGCCGCGGUAAUACAGAGGGUGCAAGCGUUAAUCGGAAUUACUGGGCGUAAAGCGAGCGUAGGUGGCUUGAUAAGUCAGAUGUGAAAUCCCCGGGCUUAACCUGGGAACUGCAUCUGAUACUGUUAGGCUAGAAUAGGUGAGAGGAAGGUAGAAUUCCAGGUGUAGCGGUGAAAUGCGUAGAGAUCUGGAGGAAUACCGAUGGCGAAGGCAGCCUUCUGGCAUCAUAUUGACACUGAGGUUCGAAAGCGUGGGUAGCAAACAGGAUUAGAUACCCUGGUAGUCCACGCCGUAAACGAUGUCUACUAGUCGUUGGGUCCCUUGAGGACUUAGUGACGCAGCUAACGCAAUAAGUAGACCGCCUGGGGAGUACGGCCGCAAGGUUAAAACUCAAAUGAAUUGACGGGGGCCCCGCACAAGACGAGGUUGAGGCAAGUCAGACG
This 605-nucleotide ribosomal RNA is filed under the name Psychrobacter sp. RNAcentral's name for it is "bacterial SSU rRNA". It matches the Rfam family "Bacterial small subunit ribosomal RNA", at positions 356 to 956 of the family's 1533-position model. The record is from RNAcentral. Lineage: Bacteria; Pseudomonadati; Pseudomonadota; Gammaproteobacteria; Moraxellales; Moraxellaceae.